UGGGAAUUUUGGACAAUGGGCGCAAGCCUGAUCCAGCCAUGCCGCGUGCAGGAUGAAGGCCUUCGGGUUGUAAACUGCUUUUGUACGGAACGAAAAGACUCCUUCUAAUAAAGGGGGUCCAUGACGGUACCGUAAGAAUAAGCACCGGCUAACUACGUGCCAGCAGCCGCGGUAAUACGUAGGGUGCGAGCGUUAAUCGGAAUUACUGGGCGUAAAGCGUGCGCAGGCGGUUAUAUAAGACAGAUGUGAAAUCCCCGGGCUCAACCUGGGAACUGCAUUUGUGACGGUAUGGCUAGAGUACGGCAGGGGGGGAUGGAAUUCCGCGUGUAGCAGUGAAAUGCGUAGAUAUGCGGAGGAACACCGAUGGCGAAGGCAGUCCCCUGGGCCUGUACUGACGCUCAUGCACGAAAGCGUGGGGAGCAAACA
Molecule: ribosomal RNA, 426 nt
Filed under: uncultured bacterium
Lineage: Bacteria
Description: bacterial SSU rRNA
Rfam family: Bacterial small subunit ribosomal RNA
Source: RNAcentral